UUAGGUUGGCACAAAAGUAAUUGUGGUUUUUGCCAUUGAAGUAAUGACGAAAACCACAACUACUUUGCACCAACCUAAUAAA
Molecule: microRNA precursor, 82 nt
Organism: Rhinopithecus bieti (black snub-nosed monkey)
Lineage: Eukaryota; Metazoa; Chordata; Mammalia; Primates; Cercopithecidae
Source: Ensembl